CUUCAAGCGUCAAGCCCACCACCACCAAUUUUAUUAAUUUCUCGUACCACAAUUAACCCUCCACCCCUAUUGAACGACCCCAUAAACUAUGGGAGCCACCCUGUUUGAACUAGUAAUAAGAAUUUGAAAUUCUCCUAGAUGUAAGUAUAAGCCGCCCAAUCGGACACCCCAACGGCAAUUAAUGUAUAAUAAAACCACUGCAACAACCACUAUAAAAAACUUGCAAUAACAAACGUUAACCUAACACAAGAACAUCCCAGAAAAGAUUAAAAAAGAAAGAAGGAACUCGGCAAACCUAAACCCCGCCUGUUUACCAAAAACAUCGCCUCUUGAUAAACUAUAAGAGGUCCAGCCUGCCCAAUGAUUAAUUAAAUGGCCGCGGUACCCUAACCGUGCAAAGGUAGCAUAAUAACUUGUCCUUUAAUUGAGGACUUGUAUGAACGGCACCACGAGGGUUGAACUGUCUCCUCUCUUUAAUCAAUGAAACUGACCUCCCCGUGAAAAGGCGGGGAUUUUUAUACAAGACGAGAAGACCCCAUGGAGCUUUAGACCUAAAGCAUAUUCAAACCCAAACUUCACCAUAAACCCAGAAUUCCUGACUCCAAGUCUUAGGUUGGGGCGACCAUGGAGUAAAACUUAACCUCCAUUUCGAACGGACAAUUAAUCCUAAUCUAAGAACUACAAUUCUAAGAAUCAAAAACUGACGCCCACUGACCCAAAAUUUGAUCAUCGAACCAAGUUACCCUGGGGAUAACAGCGCUAUCCACCUCAAAAGCCCCUAUCGACAGGUGGGUUUACGACCUCGAUGUUGGAUCAGGGUAUCCAUGUGGUGCAGCCGCUACAUAAGGUUCGUUGUC
This 857-nucleotide ribosomal RNA is filed under the name Platymantis indeprensus. Its description in RNAcentral is "partial 16S ribosomal RNA". It matches the Rfam family "Bacterial large subunit ribosomal RNA", at positions 1484 to 2581 of the family's 2925-position model. Lineage: Eukaryota; Metazoa; Chordata; Amphibia; Anura; Ceratobatrachidae. The record is from RNAcentral.